RNAcentral lists this ribosomal RNA (599 nucleotides) under Pseudomonas sp. RNAcentral's name for it is "bacterial SSU rRNA". It matches the Rfam family "Bacterial small subunit ribosomal RNA", at positions 86 to 681 of the family's 1533-position model. The record is from RNAcentral. Lineage: Bacteria; Pseudomonadati; Pseudomonadota; Gammaproteobacteria; Pseudomonadales; Pseudomonadaceae.
CUUGAUUCAGCGGCGGACGGGUGAGUAAUGCCUAGGAAUCUGCCUGGUAGUGGGGGACAACGUUUCGAAAGGAACGCUAAUACCGCAUACGUCCUACGGGAGAAAGCAGGGGACCUUCGGGCCUUGCGCUAUCAGAUGAGCCUAGGUCGGAUUAGCUAGUUGGUGGGGUAAUGGCUCACCAAGGCGACGAUCCGUAACUGGUCUGAGAGGAUGAUCAGUCACACUGGAACUGAGACACGGUCCAGACUCCUACGGGAGGCAGCAGUGGGGAAUAUUGGACAAUGGGCGAAAGCCUGAUCCAGCCAUGCCGCGUGUGUGAAGAAGGUCUUCGGAUUGUAAAGCACUUUAAGUUGGGAGGAAGGGCAGUAAGUUAAUACCUUGCUGUUUUGACGUUACCGACAGAAUAAGCACCGGCUAACUCUGUGCCAGCAGCCGCGGUAAUACAGAGGGUGCAAGCGUUAAUCGGAAUUACUGGGCGUAAAGCGCGCGUAGGUGGUUUGUUAAGUUGGAUGUGAAAGCCCCGGGCUCAACCUGGGAACUGCAUCCAAAACUGGCAAGCUAGAGUACGGUAGAGGGUGGUGGAAUUUCCUGUGUAGCGG